Molecule: non-coding RNA, 135 nt
Organism: Brachypodium distachyon (stiff brome)
Lineage: Eukaryota; Viridiplantae; Streptophyta; Magnoliopsida; Poales; Poaceae
Source: Rfam
CAUAUACUCUCUCCAUCCAACAAAGAUGUCUCAAGUUUGUCAAAAUUUGAAUGUAUCUAGACAUGACUUAGAGUAUAGAUGCAUUCAAAUUUAGUUAAAGUUGAGACAUACUUUGUUGGAUGGAGGGAGUACUAG